RNAcentral lists this ribosomal RNA (258 nucleotides) under uncultured bacterium. RNAcentral describes it as "partial 16S ribosomal RNA". It matches the Rfam family "Bacterial small subunit ribosomal RNA", at positions 524 to 778 of the family's 1533-position model. The record is from RNAcentral.
UACAGAGGGUGCGAGCGUUGUCCGGAAUCACUGGGCGUAAAGGCGCGUAGGUGGCGGCCCAAGUCCAUGGUGAAAGCUCGAUGCUCAACAUCGAGUCGGCCACGGAUACUGGGUUGCUCGAGCACUGUAGGGGCAGAUGGAAUUCCGGGUGUAGUGGUGGAAUGCGUAGAGAUCCGGAGGAACACCAGCGGCGAAGGCGGCAUCCUGGACCUGGUCCUGACACUCGAGGAGCGAAAGCGUGGGGAGCGAGUACCGGAU